RNAcentral lists this transfer RNA (97 nucleotides) under Kofleriaceae bacterium. RNAcentral's name for it is "tRNA-Sec". It matches the Rfam family "Selenocysteine transfer RNA". The record is from RNAcentral. Lineage: Bacteria; Pseudomonadati; Myxococcota; Haliangiales; Kofleriaceae. RNAcentral also lists the same sequence under 1 other name.
GGAAGCGCGCACUGGACUGGUGCUGGUCUCGGUCUUCAAAACCGAUGGUGCUCCGCGAGAGCGGCGGCACGGUGGGUUCGAUUCCCAUGCGCUUCCG